RNAcentral lists this long non-coding RNA (3953 nucleotides) under Capsicum annuum. Its description in RNAcentral is "long non-coding RNA (CANN_LNC004205)". The record is from RNAcentral. Lineage: Eukaryota; Viridiplantae; Streptophyta; Magnoliopsida; Solanales; Solanaceae.
UUAAAUUCACCCAUAGCACCACUAACUACCUUGUUAAAUUUAGCCAAAGAGGUGACUUCACUAUCUCAAAUCAAAUUAAGAGACCAUAAAAGUGAAAAGUACUAAAAGAGAUCUCAUUUCCAAACACAUCCAUGAUUGGAUAGGGAUUCAAAACGAGAUCAAGCUGUCACAUACGAUCAACAACAACAUACUCGAUAUAUUCCCACCAAGUGGGGUCUAAGGAGGGUAAGUGUAUGUAGUCCAUACCACUACCUCAGAGGUGAGAUAAAGAGGUUGUUUUCGAUAGACCCCAAUGCGAAAUAAGCUGUUGCAUAUGAUCGUCAACAGAUGAUCACAUAAUUGAAACUCCCAAAACCAGAAUUCAUGUUUGAAUCUUCCCUUCCAAAAGGGCAAGCUAGACCAGCUGACUGGACGGCCGCAAAUUGGGUAGCCCAUACCUGGGAAGGUGCGCCAAAAAAUAGUAAUGAAAGAGCACGCUAAAAGUAGGAAGAAAACAGUGAACUAGAGAGUUGGUCCAGUUAUGAAUACUGAAGUUCGGACAACCUAAUCAACCAGAAAAUCAUUAGACGUAAAGAGACGCAAGAGAUAAACCUCCUUUCCUAGAAGCUGACAAGAUAUAUGAGCAUAAUAGCAGCAGAGUUAUGCCAUCUAGAAAUUUUUAGUACCCAAUUAGAAUACCUUCAAACAACAUCAGUUUUAGGGAAGCUCCAAUAAUAUUGAACAGAUGGACUCACUGAAAGGUUCCAUUAUAGCAAGAAAUUUGCACCAAAUAAAACAGAAAAGAGCAACUGCAUUCAAAAUCAGAGACGCAUACCCAUGCAUCCAUAACAGAACAGAUCAUACCUGGGUAAGAAUCCCCAUCGGGAGAGAGGCUAAGAACCACCGUAGGAGAGAAUAACUGUAAAAUCAAUAGUAAGAUUGGUAGAUGAAGUAGCAUGUCCAAACCACUGCUCCAGUGCAUUGCUCGAAUUUCCCGCAUCACUUUCCCAAAUCACAACAAGAGAAAAUAUUAACUAAAUGUACCUGACAGAAAAAGAAACUCAAAUGCAAUCAAGCCGUGUCAAAAUUCAUUAACUUAACCAACCACGUCUGUAGCUACCAAGCAGCUCAGAAAUGAUCACAAAUCAUUUUCCAUGACAGACCCCAAAAAGACUCCAAAUGUGAUCGAGUGGGCUAAAUUUUAUACCUUCACCAAUCAUAUCUACAAUUAUUAAGUAGAAGAGAAAUAAUCACACGACUAAACCUCUCACCAGAAGUAACCAUUUAUAAACUUUUCAACACCUGAACUCAUGCUUGAGUACCCAAACGAUUCCACUAAACCAAUUGAUCGAAUUGCAAAUGGGGAACUUAUAUACCACAAUGAAGAGGAAAAAUCACAUCACAAACCCCAAGAAGGAAGACAUAAUAAACAAGACAAUGAAGGAAAACAAAAAUGUUAAGCUCAGAACCACAACCAGGUCAAUGAAAGAUGACAAGAAUUGUCCCUGACAGUACUCCCCGUUGCCAUCUUUAAAUUGACAUCCUAAGUCAGACCAACAGAUGGAACUUCUAAAUUGUUCCUUGUAAAAAUCAACAUGCAAUUUCUCUGAGAGCUUGUAACUAGAGGAGCAUUAUCCACAUCCAAUAACAUCAAUCAACUUUUCAUGUGUUCUACUACUGAAUCGUAAUUUAAAUCAAUCUACGAGUGAUAGAUAAAGGAUCACAGGAGAAAUAAGCAGUACCACAAUCUCACGGAUUAAAGCAGCACUUAACAUUAGCAAUCCCCAGAGAAAGGAUUAGUAAUGAGUACAAAGAUCGGAGAUCCCAUUCUAGAAGCUGACAGAAGGGAGCACCAAAAUACCUCUUGCAAGAGGUAUGAUUCAACACCUGAAAUUUUUUACUUUGAAUUAUGCUAACUAGUUGUUCAAGUAGAAUGUUCAAAGCUGUCUCACUGGGGUGUGCAGCUUGCCUAGCUGUAGUAGCAUAGGGCUGCAUAUUAUUUGCACCUAUCUUCUUAAAACAUUAUCCUGCUGNNNNNNNNNNNNNNNNNNNNNNNNNNNNNNNNNNNNUACUCUGCUGAAUUCUUGCUCUAACUCCAAAGCCAGAAUAACCAGUGUGUACUGAAUUUGAAGCUGUAGGAAGCUUCAUACUUGAAGGAGAAGAUAUUAGCGGUAGGAUAGUUUAUACCCUGCUGCUUCUGGCGGAAGUCCAUGAAAAAGAUUGAAGCUUGAAUUUCCAGGGGAGCAUAUUCACAUAAAUUCUAUGGAGAAGAACGGUCUUUUGACUCUUCAAACCCUAGAAAACAAACAUUACAAAAACUACAAACCUGAGAGCCGAAAAUAAUUCCAUAAAAGAAAAAAGGGUACCAGUAUACAAAGUAACGACGACUUAAAAAAAGAAAGGCAAGCCAGAUUAAGUGUGAAACUAUAAGUUUGAUUGCAUUUUUCACGGAUAACAUGAAUUAAUGCACUAUCCGGUUUCCGUGAACACCAGAAAAGCACAAAAAGAAUGAACCCAUGAAAGAUUCUGAACUUUACGGAAACUAAACCUAACUAGUAAUAAGACAAAGGUAUGGAUAUAACAGAGGGGAACUUACAAUAAUGUUUAUCGUUAUAUCAUUCGAUCUACUGAAUUAACUGUAUUAAAACUUCUAAAUCAAACCAUGGUACUGUUCCUUCUAAAUGAAAAUAAUUACUUAUCACCUUCCAAAUCUAACCAUGUUUCUUUCCUUCUCGGAAGAAGAAUCUCCAUUUUCUUAUUUCCAAGAAAAACAGGACGGGCAUGCUUUCUUAGCUUGUCUAUGAAUAGUAUAAGCUUCUUAUUUAGAAACAUAAGAAACCUCUCAACAUUCUUCCUGUUGGAUGGAAAAGAAAAAUUGAACGUCGUGCCACAUGUGGAUUAUUUAGGAAGCCAAAAACAAAACCAAAUUGAUGGAGAAGUUGAAAUUAACCUUUUCGGUACAAUAGGACAUACUAAUGACAAGAUCAGGACACUUGUUCUGGACACAAAAUGAAUGCAUCCUCAUAUCUGAACUUUUUCUCAAAUCACGUGCCAAAAUCUAUAGGAAACUGGUCAAACAAUCAAGGGAAACCGACAAGAUGAAACACCAAUCUUUUGAAAACCUAAAUUACAGUGGCACGAAAAGCAAUUCUCAUCAUCAUUCAAGUUUUCUGAGCACAUAUAUAGUAACUGAAUAUGCUAUGAAACCUCAGAUGCACCUCUUCAUGCUCAUUUCAUGCUUGAAGUACCAUUUGUACAUAUAAGUUAAUUUACACAAAUUACUCAUGUGAUCUAUUUUUCAGACCCUAAAAAAAAACCUCAAGCCAAACUUUUUAGGGUUGGCUAUAUGAUUCUUUUUAUUAAUUAUUUUCUAUGAAACUAAAGUAAAUUUCGACAGCUUCAAGACACAUCUUAAAUCUUCAUUCUUAAACCAUUCUAAUCUAAUAAGUAAAAGGUGCUAAUUUAAGAUUCAGAAAAUUUACUUCCUUUAACAGAAGUUACAUAAUUUGAGAUAGACACAUCAAAAAGGCAUUUUUUUCUUCUUUGUAAAAACAUUCACCACAAAAUCUAGAUGGUUUCUCACAAUCAAAGCUUCAAAAACCAAAAGUAUUAAUCACUCAAAUAGACUUUAAAGAUGUAUUAUUAGAAGUAUCUAUAUAAACAUUUUAAAGCCUCGAUUAAACAUAGCAGGACAUGAAUUCAGCAAGACAACUAAAUUCCUCUUAGCUCCAAAGUCAUCUAGCAACACAAAUUAAAAUUAAAAAGGAAAGGGUUAUAUAUACAUGAUCACAAACACACACACACACAAAUAUAUAACAUGUAUAUAUAAACCAAUGCAGAAAUUAACGUCUUCAAUAGAACAAAUGCAGAAAACAGUUACAGCAAUCCAACUGAAGCCAUGCAUGAAACAAAGCAGAAACAUUUGAUUAAAAAUAGUUUACCUGCAAAAGGAAGCAAUGAUGAAGUGCAUGGAG